Molecule: long non-coding RNA, 902 nt
Organism: Homo sapiens (human)
Lineage: Eukaryota; Metazoa; Chordata; Mammalia; Primates; Hominidae
Exons: 3
Source: RefSeq, a predicted model, not a curated record
ACAUGGCAAGACUAAGCUUUUAUAUCUCUGAAAAGCAGCUCCUCUGAGUACAACAGCAUUUUCAGGAAUGCAAGCACAGCCUGCAGUCAAGCAUGCCUUCAGAACUCAGACUCCUAGCUCAUGGGAUUAGGGAGAAGAUCAGCUCAUCCUGGCAACUGGCUGUUGCUCCCCUCCUAGGAUGGCAUGGCCACGCUGAACCCUAGCCCUAUACAGGAACACAGGACACAGACAAGGACUUACGCCAUUGGCUCCCCAGUUCUCAGGCCUCUCAACUCAGGUGAAUUACACCAGCUUCUCCAGCUUUCCAGCUUGCAGACAGCAGGUCAUGGGAUAUCUUGACCUCCAUAAUCAUUUUGUCUCUUCCAGAAUCAAAGCUGUAAAACUACAAAUCUUUCUUCAAAUGGAGCCCCAGAUGCAGCCCAUGACUAAGAUCUACCACAGACCCCUGGACCGACUUGCUAGCCCAUGCUCUGUUGUUGAUGACAUCGAAGGCACUCCUCCUGAGGAAAUCUCAACUGCACAACCCCUACUACACCCCAAUUCAGCAGGAAGCAGUUAGAGCAAUCAUCAGCCAACCUCCCCAAUAGCACUUGAGUUUUCAUGUUGAGGGGGCUACUGAGAGACAGGACUAGCUGGAUUUCCUAGGCCGACAAAGAAUUCCUAAGCCUAGCUGGGAAGGUGACCACACCCAUCUUUAAACACGGGGCUUGUAACUCAGUUCACACCCGACAAAUCAGGUAGUAAAGAGCGGCUCACUAAAAUACCAAUUAAGCUAAAGGCAGGAGGUAAAAGAAACAGUCAAUCAUCUAUCACCUGAGAACACAGAGGGAGAGACAAUGAUUGGGAUAUAAACCCCAGGCAUUCGAGCCAGGGGUGGGCAACCCCCUUUGGGUCCCCUCCCA